AAUGAGGGUGCGCCUGCGGUGUUCUUCUCGUUGGCGUCCGGGUUGCGGGUCGUCUGCAGGACUACUGGGCCGGUCUGCCGUGCGUCCAAGAGUUUCUAUUUGGAUGUGAAACCACUUUUAUAGACCACCUUAGAGAAGACUGUUGACAUACUAGUUGGAAUGGUUCCAGUAGCCGACCUUGCAAAACGCUUCAGAUUGGAAGAACUUCCUUUGUAAAACUUCUCUGGCUUCCUAAUGGUGCUUUACCUGCAACCUUCUACUAUUCUAAUCCUCCUCCAUUUCUAAUGAAAAAUCAAACAAACAACCUCCUCUUGACCGUGAAGGUAGUGUUUGAUAUCUGUGGUUUGUACUGCCUGAUUCUAGUCUAUUUCUGCCUGCCUGCUGGAUCUUUCUACUAUGACAUACUGUGUCUACCUCAAAUUCAAUACCUAUAAAAACAGUAGUCUUACUCUUUAUGCCUGCCCUUCACACUUGUGCUUCCUGCCCUAAUUUGUGCUUCCUCUGGUGGCACUAGUCAGAUAAACCUCAGCAUCUUUUGCCAAUUCAGCUUAUAUAUUGCCAUCUUUAGCAAACUCUGAAGGUCUUAAAGUAAGCAGAAGUGCUUAUAUGAAAAUGUUAGGUCAAGGUGUAGCUUAUGAGAUAGGAAGAAAGGAGCUACAUUUUCUUUUAUCCUUUUUUAGUUUUUUGGAGGCAA
Molecule: non-coding RNA, 694 nt
Organism: Microcebus murinus (gray mouse lemur)
Lineage: Eukaryota; Metazoa; Chordata; Mammalia; Primates; Cheirogaleidae
Source: RefSeq, a predicted model, not a curated record